RNAcentral lists this ribosomal RNA (497 nucleotides) under uncultured bacterium. RNAcentral's name for it is "partial 16S ribosomal RNA". It matches the Rfam family "Bacterial small subunit ribosomal RNA", at positions 28 to 507 of the family's 1533-position model. The record is from RNAcentral.
GAUGAACGCUGGCGGCGUGCCUAAUACAUGCAAGUCGAGCGAACGGACGAGAAGCUUGCUUCUCUGAUGUUAGCGGCGGACGGGUGAGUAACACGUGGAUAACCUACCUAUAAGACUGGGAUAACUUCGGGAAACCGUAGCUAAUACCGGAUAAUAUUUUGAACCGCAUGGUUCAAAAGUGAAAGACGGUCUUGCUGUCACUUAUAGAUGGAUCCGCGCUGCAUUAGCUAGUUGGUAAGGUAACGGCUUACCAAGGCAACGAUGCAUAGCCGACCUGAGAGGGUGAUCGGACACACUGGAACUGAGACACGGUCCAGACUCCUACGGGAGGCAGCAGUAGGGAAUCUUCCGCAAUGGGCGAAAGCCUGACGGAGAAACGCCGCGUGAGUGAUGAAGGUCUUCGGAUCGUAAAACUCUGUUAUUAGGGAAGAACAUAUGUGUAAGUAACUGUGCACAUCUUGACGGUACCUAAUCAGAAAGCCACGGCUAACUACGUG